GCGGAUGGCUGGAUGACCGCGGGCCGGGCAACCGAUCCGAGGAAAGUCCGGACUCCAUGAAGUAAGGGUGCCGGGUAACGCCCGGCGGGGGAAACCCCAGGGAAAGCGCCACAGAGAAGAGUCUGCCUUGAUGACGCAAAGAAGGUUCGCCUUCGGCGCGGGCAAGGCGAUGGUGAAAAGGUGGGGUAAGAGCCCACCGCGGACCUGGCAACAGGGACGGCACGGCAAGCCCCACCCGGAGCAAUGCCGAAUAGGGGCCUCGCGCGGAAAGGUCCGGGGAACAGUCGCAAGACUGCCGGAGACCUCCGUAGGGACACUUCAGCCCGAGAUGGCCCGGGUUGGCAGCUUGACCGGCGCGGUAACGCGUCUGGCAGAGGAAUGGUCAUCCAAGAGGCGGGUUCGCAAGAAUUUGGCUCUGGACAGAAUCCGGCUUAUAGGCCAUCCGCGCAU
RNAcentral lists this RNase P RNA (450 nucleotides) under Rhodobacteraceae bacterium PARR1. RNAcentral describes it as "Bacterial RNase P class A". It matches the Rfam family "Bacterial RNase P class A". From Rfam's summary of the family: Ribonuclease P (RNase P) is a ubiquitous endoribonuclease, found in archaea, bacteria and eukarya as well as chloroplasts and mitochondria. Its best characterised activity is the generation of mature 5'-ends of tRNAs by cleaving the 5'-leader elements of precursor-tRNAs. Lineage: Bacteria; Pseudomonadati; Pseudomonadota; Alphaproteobacteria; Rhodobacterales; Paracoccaceae. The record is from Rfam by way of RNAcentral.